AUGGAACUGGAUGUGACCGAAAAGGCCGAUGUCCACAACGUGAUUAAUGGAAUAAAACUGCAACCGAGCUCCAGUUCUGUUGUGCCAUUAGAGCCACAGCAGCAGGAAAUAUCUCUACGUCACAGAGAAAAAAUUCUGGAAGGGAAGCAACAGUGUGGUAGGAAUCGCCUGAGACAGCAUUCAGAACAGUGCAGUGUUCGUGAAACUAGUAAUAAAAAAUACAGCUGUAAUUGCACGUCAUUUGCUGAAGAUGAAAAUAUACGGACUGUGGAAAAACCUUUGAGCAGAAGAAGUGAGAAAAACAACAAGCAAAAAGUACUGAACAAACUCCAUGAAAGAGGAGAAACUGACACUUGCCAGUCUGAUAAAUAUCAUAUGCUUAAGUCAUGUUCCGAUCACAAUAUUGAAAAAUUAAAUUUUAAACCUUUAUGUUCUGAAGAUCCACUACAAUCUUUGGACCAAGAAAGUAAGGAAAGCAGACAUACCUAUUCAAUCAGCAGCUUCAGAAGAAAGCUUUUCAAAACAAUCACUCUUCCGGGUUUGUUCGUUUCUGACGGUGGUCACACAGACCACAUCUCACUGGACUCUGAAGAUAUUCCAAACUGUGUUCUUCCAUCUGGAAUGGAAUGCGUAGAGACAGUUCAUUCACAUUCUUCUCCAAGGCAUUUCAAAAUGGAUCAUGGUCCAAGUAUUAGUGAAACAGCUGCAAAUAAAAGGUCCAAGAUGCACCAAAAACCCUCGGAAUUAUCUGCAGAGCAUAAAUUUCCGACACAGCAGAAAAGGAAAAAUAAAUCAAACACCUUCAAGCUGGUUCCUGAAGAAAGGUCUACACAUGUUUGUGCAAAACAGGAAAACUUGGCUUCUGAAAGUCCUGAUACAUCCACAUUAAAUGAUGAACAGAGCAGGGAUGAGUGUGUAGAAGUGAUCGAGACAAUUGUGAUAACUGAAAAAAUCAAGACAAAAUGUCGCGGCAAGAAGAAGAAACGCAAGUGUCAGAGUUCACAAAGGAAGGCUGAGGACGAGCCUUCAGUGGACAAGUAUGACUGUCAGGAAUCUUCAAAAAAGGAACCUGAUGCUUCUGAGUCAAAACUUGCAAGUCCAGGAAGAAGUAACGAUGGCAAUGCUUCUGCUCUUGUUUCCAGAAACACUUCUCCAUGCUUAGAUAGAAUACCGGCUGAACCUCUUGUGACAAGCGAGGCUGUUAAAGUGAACGAAACACUUUUCUCAGCAGACAUCUCUCUGAGUGGAUCAGUCACAGAAACUCAGUCUACAGACACUGGUGUUUUGAACCUGCCCAGUGAAGACAGUGUUAAACAGAAGAGCUUAUUUCACGAAAAAGACGAAAAACAGGUCACUGACCAGCGACCACGAGAGCCGGAACGUCCAGUAUUAAAUGAGAUGAAGGAACUGGUUUCUGGAGAAAUGCACUGCAAGAAGCUUCACAAGGAAGUGGUGAAACAAAAGCCUCACACACGUAACAGAGGUAUGGGCGAAAUAAACUCGGGCUGA
Molecule: long non-coding RNA, 1509 nt
Filed under: Scleropages formosus (Asian bonytongue)
Lineage: Eukaryota; Metazoa; Chordata; Actinopteri; Osteoglossiformes; Osteoglossidae
Description: lncRNA (ENSSFOG00015026105.1)
Source: RNAcentral